Long non-coding RNA from Oncorhynchus keta (chum salmon), 2001 nucleotides. RefSeq lists it as uncharacterized. The record is from RefSeq and is a predicted model, not a curated record. The transcript has 3 exons. Lineage: Eukaryota; Metazoa; Chordata; Actinopteri; Salmoniformes; Salmonidae.
UGUUCCUGGAGAUCUACUGUCCUGUAGGUUCAGUCCAACCCUGUUCCUGGAGAUCUACUGUCCUGUAGGUUCAGUCCAACCCUGUUCCUGGAGAUCUACUGUCCUGUAGGUUCAGUCCAACCCUGUUCCUGGAGAUCUACUGUCCUGUAGGUUCAGUCCAACCCUGUUCCUGGAGAUCUACCGUCCUGUAGGUUCAGUCCAACCCUCUUCCUGGAGAUCUACUGUCCUGUAGGUUCAGUCCAACCCUCUUCCUGGAGAUCUACUGUCCUGUAGGUUCAGUCCAACCCUGUUCCUGGAGAUCUACUGUCCUGUAGGUUCAGUCCAACCCUGUUCCUGGAGAUCUACUGUCCUGUAGGUUCAGUCCAACCCUGUUCCUGGAGAUCUACUGUCCUGUAGGUUCAGUCCAACCCUGUUCCUGGAGAUCUACUGUCCUGUAGGUUCAGUCCAACCCUGUUUCUGGAGAUCUACUGUCCUGUAGGUUCAGUCCAACCCUCUUCCUGGAGAUCUACUGUCCUGUAGGUUCAGUCCAACCCUGUUCCUGGAGAUCUACUGUCCUGUAGGUUCAGUCCAACCCUGUUCCUGGAGAUCUACUGUCCUGUAGGUUCAGUCCAACCCUCUUCCUGGAGAUCUACUGUCCUGUAGGUUCAGUCCAACCCUGUUCCUGGAGAUCUACUGUCCUGUAGGUUCAGUCCAACCCUGUUCCUGGAGAUCUACUGUCCUGUAGGUUCAGUCCAACCCUGUUCCUGGAGAUCUACUGUCCUGUAGGUUCAGUCCAACCCUGUUUCUGGAGAUCUACUGUCCUGUAGGUUCAGUCCAACCCUGUUCCUGGAGAUCUACUGUCCUGUAGGUUCAGUCCAACCCUGUUUCUGGAGAUCUACUGUCCUGUAGGUUCAGUCCAACCCUCUUCCUGGAGAUCUACUGUCCUGUAGGUUCAGUCCAACCCUCUUCCUGGAGAUCUACUGUCCUGUAGGUUCAGUCCAACCCUGUUCCUGGAGAUCUACUGUCCUGUAGGUUCAGUCCAACCCUGUUCCUGGAGAUCUACUGUCCUGUAGGUUCAGUCCAACCCUGUUCCUGGAGAUCUACUGUCCUGUAGGUUCAGUCCAACCCUGUUCCUGGAGAUCUACUGUCCUGUAGGUUCAGUCCAACCCUGUUCCUGGAGAUCUACUGUCCUGUAGGUUCAGUCCAACCCUGUUUCUGGAGAUCUACUGUCCUGUAGGUUCAGUCCAACCCUGUUCCUGGAGAUCUACUGUCCUGUAGGUUCAGUCCAACCCUGUUCCUGGAGAUCUACUGUCCUGUAGGUUCAGUCCAACCCUGUUUCUGGAGAUCUACUGUCCUGUAGGUUCAGUCCAACCCUCUUCCUGGAGAUCUACUGUCCUGUAGGUUCAGUCCAACCCUCUUCCUGGAGAUCUACUGUCCUGUAGGUUCAGUCCAACCCUGUUCCUGGAGAUCUACUGUCCUGUAGGUUCAGUCCAACCCUGUUCCUGGAGAUCUACUGUCCUGUAGGUUCAGUCCAACCCUCUUCCUGGAGAUCUACUGUCCUGUAGGUUCAGUCCAACCCUGUUCCUGGAGAUCUACUGUCCUGUAGGUUCAGUCCAACCCUGUUCCUGGAGAUCUACUGUCCUGUAGGUUCAGUCCAACCCUCUUCCUGGAGAUCUACUGUCCUGUAGGUUCAGUCCAACCCUGUUCCUGGAGAUCUACUGUCCUGUAGGUUCAGUCCAACCCUGUUUCUGGAGAUCUACUGUCCUGUAGGUUCAGUCCAACCCUGUUCCUGGAGAUCUACUGUCCUGUAGGUUCAGUCCAACCCUGUUUCUGGAGAUCUACUGUCCUGUAGGUUCAGUCCAACCCUCUUCCUGGAGAUCUACUGUCCUGUAGGUUCAGUCCAACCCUCUUCCUGGAGAUCUACUGUCCUGUAGGUUCAGUCCAACCCUCUUCCUGGAGAUCUACUGUCCUGUAGGUUCAGUCCAACCCUCUUCCUGGAGAUCUACUGUCCUGCAGGUUCAG